Mesocricetus auratus (golden hamster) is the source of this 471-nucleotide non-coding RNA. Lineage: Eukaryota; Metazoa; Chordata; Mammalia; Rodentia; Cricetidae. The record is from the annotation of a RefSeq genome assembly.
AGAGACACACACCAUGUCUGUCUCAGCAGAGCUCAGUGGUGUCUGCACCAUGGCCUGGACUCCUCUUCUCUUCUUCCUCCUUCAUUGCACAGGGUCUUUCUCCCAACCUGUGCUGACUCAGUCACCCUCUGCCUCUGCUUCCCUGGGAGCCUCAGUCAAACUCACCUGCACGUUGAGUAGUGAGCACAGCACCUAUGACAUUGAAUGGUACCAGCAACAUCCGGACAAGGCUCCUAAAUAUGUGAUGUAUCUUAAUAGUGAUGGAAGCCACGGCAAAGGGGAUGGUAUCCCUGAUCGCUUCUCUGGCUCCAGCUCUGGGGCUCACCGCUACUUAAGCAUCUCUAACAUCCAGUCUGAGGAUGAAGCUAUCUAUUACUGUGGUGUAAGUGAUAGCACUGGGUGAACACAGUGAACUGGAUAAAUGAGGAAGCUGCACAGGAUCUAUUUUUAUUCUCUUGCUACAAUGAAUUG